AGAACGUCGUGAGACAGUUCGGUCCCUAUCUGCCGUGGGCGUUGGAAGAUUGAAGGGGGCUGCUCCUAGUACGAGAGGACCGGAGUGGACGAACCUCUGGUGUUCGGGUUGUGUCGCCAGACGCAUUGCCCGGUAGCUAAGUUCGGAAUUGAUAAGCGCUGAAAGCAUCUAAGCGCGAAGCGAGCCCUGAGAUGAGUCUUCCCUGACAGUUUAACUGUCCUAAAGGGUUGUUCGAGACUAGAACGUUGAUAGGCAGGGUGUGUAAGCGUUGUGAGGCGUUGAGCUAACCUGUACUAAUUGCCCGUGAGGCUUAACCAU
Molecule: ribosomal RNA, 318 nt
Filed under: Vibrio cholerae TM 11079-80
Lineage: Bacteria; Pseudomonadati; Pseudomonadota; Gammaproteobacteria; Vibrionales; Vibrionaceae
Description: bacterial LSU rRNA
Rfam family: Bacterial large subunit ribosomal RNA
Source: RNAcentral